AGUGAAGCGGCAAAAGCUCAAAUUUGAAAUCUGGUACCUUCGGUGCCCGAGUUGUAAUUUGGAGAGGGCAACUUUGGGGCCGUUCCUUGUCUAUGUUCCUUGGAACAGGACGUCAUAGAGGGUGAGAAUCCCGUGUGGCGAGGAGUGCGGUUCUUUGUAAAGUGCCUUCGAAGAGUCGAGUUGUUUGGGAAUGCAGCUCUAAGUGGGUGGUAAAUUCCAUCUAAAGCUAAAUAUUGGCGAGAGACCGAUAGCGAACAAGUACAGUGAUGGAAAGAUGAAAAGAACUUUGAAAAGAGAGUGAAAAAGUACGUGAAAUUGUUGAAAGGGAAGGGCAUUUGAUCAGACAUGGUGUUUUGUGCCCUCUGCUCCUUGUGGGUGGGGGAAUCUCGCAUUUCACUGGGCCAGCAUCAGUUUUGGUGGCAGGAUAAAUCCAUAGGAAUGUAGCUUGCCUCGGUAAGUAUUAUAGCCUGUGGGAAUACUGCCAGCUGGGACUGAGGACUGCGACGUAAGUCAAGGAUGCUGGCAUAAUGGUUAUAUGCCGC
Molecule: ribosomal RNA, 542 nt
Filed under: Saccharomyces cerevisiae (brewer's yeast)
Lineage: Eukaryota; Fungi; Ascomycota; Saccharomycetes; Saccharomycetales; Saccharomycetaceae
Description: partial large subunit ribosomal RNA
Rfam family: Eukaryotic large subunit ribosomal RNA
Source: RNAcentral